GAAAUGCGAUACGUAAUGUGAAUAGCAGAAUUCAGUGAAUCAUCGAAUCUUUGAACGCAUCUUGCGCUCCUUGGUAUUCCGAGGAGCAUGCCUGUUUGAGUGUCAUUU
RNAcentral lists this ribosomal RNA (108 nucleotides) under Inocybe godeyi. RNAcentral describes it as "partial 5.8S ribosomal RNA". It matches the Rfam family "5.8S ribosomal RNA", at positions 50 to 154 of the family's 154-position model. Rfam says of the family: 5.8S ribosomal RNA (5.8S rRNA) is a component of the large subunit of the eukaryotic ribosome. It is transcribed by RNA polymerase I as part of the 45S precursor that also contains 18S and 28S rRNA. The record is from RNAcentral. Lineage: Eukaryota; Fungi; Basidiomycota; Agaricomycetes; Agaricales; Inocybaceae.